GUAAUUUUUAACAACGAGUAGAAGAUUCCAACAGACAUCAGACAUUCUAUUAUGCAAAUCAAACCUGUAAGAGUCAGAAUGUUCUUGAUGGCAUCAUCUGACCCAGUUUCAGGAGUUCGGAUGCGAGGAGUGAUGCUCCCUGUCGGAGAGGGUAAAGGAGAGAGAGGAGGUGAGGAGAACGUUUGCUUCACUCACCUGGGAUGAACUUCCGUUGGCUGAUGCCAGUUUCAUGGCUUUCAGGAUGCUGAAGAAGACACGACGAUACGUUAACCUUCUGACUUAUAGGCCAGCUGCCGCUUCAGCUCUGCGAUCUGAUUGGCCGAGGAGUCCUGGACUUCCUGUAAGGUGAACUGGAG
Carassius auratus (goldfish) is the source of this 356-nucleotide long non-coding RNA. RefSeq lists it as uncharacterized. Lineage: Eukaryota; Metazoa; Chordata; Actinopteri; Cypriniformes; Cyprinidae. The record is from RefSeq and is a predicted model, not a curated record. The transcript has 4 exons.